CACUAAUUACACUCCACAAGAGCAAACACUGGGCACAGGACUGAAAGCCAAGCCUACCUGAGUUCACUCUGAGCCACUGGAUCCUCCUUUCACUCCUCCUCCUCUCACCUUCACUCAUCUCUCCUUACAGAACAACAUUUAAGGAGAAAAUUUUCGGUUAAAACUUCAGUUCACUUCCGAAAGUCUUGAGUCGACUCCACAGCUGAUUCAGUGAGUCGAUUUACUUCACUUCGCUUCAGUUGACUGAGCUUUAUUCAGAGUCUCGGUGUCUCUGUCAAGAUUCAUUUCCUGGAAUUUUCUCCUCAGUCUGUCGAGACCGAAAAAGUCUGAAGGAAAAGGAAUCAGCUGAAGCUUACAGCAGUACCCACAGAAUGUGACCUGACACACUGGCAGAAGUGUGCCGAAGGCCCUGAUGCCUGUUGAGGGACUUUACACAACGUCUAACGCUCCCGGCUUCUGUGUUACCAUUCCUCAUGUAACAUUAUCACGGUGUUUCUCAUGUCACCUGGAGAGGGGUAAUUAAGAACAUCAAACAACUAUUCCGCAUUACGGAUCUAAGCUAAAACUGUAAAAUUGCUACUACAUACCUGCCUUGUAUGUGCCAGGACCAACCAACCUGGAAAAAUCGCUAAGCAUGAUGCUUUACCUCGUGCCCCAUUCCAGUACCUGCAAGUUGAUUUCACUCAUAUGCCACCCAUAGGCAACUUAAAAUACAUGCUGUUCAUUGUUGACAGACUCGCAAAAUGGGUUGAAACUCUUCCUUGUUGUAAAAAAAUGUGAAAAAAAAAUAUCCUAAGGCACAGAAUUAUAAAUAACUAUUAAAAUUGAUAAUGGAACACAUUUUAGAUCCAAAGUAAGACAAAAACUUUGUCAAUACUUAAAUGCUGAGUGGAAAUUUCACAUUCCUUAUCACCCACAGUCAUCUGGGGUGGUUGAAGAGCAAAUGGAAUGUUGAAAAGAUAGACUAACUACAGCAAGGAUGAAAUGUGGUAAGUCAUGGGUUGAUCUGUCAUCUGCCGUCGUUUGUGAAAUAAGUGACACCCAGAGCGGCUACUAAAUUGUGACCCUAUGAAGAAGCCAUGAGAGUAAAGGGUCAUCCUGGGCCUUGUUUUACAGGUGACCUGGACACAAUCAUGGCUUCUGUGUUACCAUUCCUCAUGUAACAUUAUCACGGUGUUUCUCAUGUCACCUGGAGAGGGGUAAUUAAGAACAUCAAACCAGAGGUGGAAAGAGUACUAAAAUAUUAUACUCAAGUACAAGUACUGUUACUCUGAUGAAAUUUUACUUAAGUACAAGUAAAGUUACCAGACAAAAAAUCUACUCAAGUAAAAGUAAAAAGUAGAUCAUUUAAAAUGUACUUUGAGUAAAAGUAAAACGUUACUUUUAACAAUGGGUGUUUUCUGCCUCCAUUGUGUUGUGCAAAAAUGAAAAAGAAGAGGAAACAAGGAUAUAUGUACAUCUCAACCCAGAUGUUUUAUUUAAAGGAAGUGUAUCAAAUUGAAUGCUUAGGAUAAUGCUGCAUUAAAACUGAGACAAACAAAAAAGGUCAAUACACACAGUCAUGUCGUUUACAUCGCCCUGACCACACACAAAGCAUUGUACACGAAAUAUGAAAGUGAAAUGUCGCACCGAAAUCUUGUAGCUUGCCUGUGUGCACUGUGUGUUAUUGAACAAUUCAAUUCAAACAUUAUUUGUUUUGCUUAGUAUUCCUUUCUGGCCUGUUGGACGUAGAAUGGUAGGAGGACUGAUCACGUCAGGUUGGCGAGCUAACUUGCUUGCAUGAUUAGCCAACCGAAUAACAGACUAGUUACCAUUAUGUUACAGUACCAACAGGUUGCUACUUCAACAUUAGCAAUGCCAUCCACUAUUUUUGGAAUAUAACCAGCCUAUUGUCAGUUUUACUAUGGAAAGGAAACAUUAUGAUCAGGGGUGCAGAUACAUUUUUUGAACUGGGGGGGACAAAAAACUGGGGGGGACAAAGCUGCCAGCAAACCAACCCCGAUAUGCCUGUCAAACUUGUUGUGGGUAACCAUAGCAACCAAGCUCGAGCUCGCAACCUGUGCAGUCUGCGCAGCUCAACCAACCGAAUAUCAGUCUUUGUUUUGUUUUAUGUGAGUUGUUGCAACUAUGUAUGUACUGCUGUGCACCUCAAUAAACCGAAUGGUAAUUAGUCUUUUGAUUUUUCCGUGAGGUUUGCCUUAUGCAAAGAAAGACAGCAUAGACAUUUUUUCCUUCCUAUAAGUGGGGGGGACCGAACGAGGUGAAUUUAAAUCUGGGUGGGACGAAUCCCACCCGUCCCACCCUCUAUCUGCGCCCGUGAUUAUGAUGCCAAUGACAAUACUUACCUCAACAUGCUUGCGCAGAUUAGAUGUUGAAUUUUUGUAUGCCGCAAUGGUUGUCUUCUUGGGCACACAUAAUCUGCAUUGCAUAAUGAAACUGUCACCCCUUUUCUCUACGAAGCUGAAGUGAUCACGUAUGUAGGGCCAGGGGUGCACUUCAUUACUGGAAGAAAUUGCGUUUUCUGCAGGGUCGUCCACCACAGGUUCCUCGGUCUCCUCCAUGUCCGCAGGGGCACUUUAUCAACACCCGUGGCCCAGGGGCUAGGCCCCUCAUAGGCUACCUGUCAACCCUACCCUUACCGUUGGCCAGGAAAACACUCUUAUUUUAUUUGCAAUACGUGUCAAGCAUUUACAUUGUAAGCGCGUAAUUAGCCUAGAAGCCUACGAUAGGUUACGUUUGGCUCAGCGUAGCUGCGCAAGGCCCACGCUCACAUCGCUCAACACAUCCGACCACAGAGGGAGAGAAUAAUGCGUGCAUUAUCAUUACAGAGCCGGUUGUGAUUAUUACCACGGACAGGACAGUGAUACUGCGUAACUUUCACACAGGGGCAUGGCCAGAGAUAACCACACAAGCGCGCGUGUGCUAUAAUGUAGACCUAUGUGUUGUAAACAUAAAACACACACACCUACAGACAAGUCCUUUUAAAAAAUAAAAUACAUAAAAAUAGCUCGGCGGCAUGAAAACAAACAUUCACUGCAAGUCAAGGUACUUGGCUCGGCGGCCGCAUGAAACGUAAACACCAUGGACAGCGGCCAAACUCAUAACUCUACAGACCGAAAUACACGAAACCAAGUCCUACUAGGGUCUAUUUUACCAAUCUAUGUUCAAGCAUCAUGCAAGUCUUCCUUCUCCUUGAAUGAGACCGUGCAUUCAACUGCCUUUUUGACAUGACUGCAUCGAAAUACCACUUGCAACAAUAUUUCACGCACUCCAUCAAGAAAAAAGUUAAACAUGAUGAACACGGGCAUACUGUUUUGAGCAUACGAUUUUUUAAAAAGAAACUAGCUACAUCAAAGUCCUUCAAUAAACCCAUCCUUUAGCGCAAAUGAGCUUAACCUAGUUCAAAGCAUGACACUAGCAGUAGCUGCAUAAGGCAAAAUCGUGUGGGCCUUUCGUCAACGACAAGCCACGGCGGGGAAACAUUAAUAAUCAAGUGUCCUUACCUUAAAACGUUGUCUUGACCACAGAACUUCUCAAGUAUUUCACUUAAAUCCACACGGGUUAACAACACACCCAACACAGCUAGCGAGAAAUGUGGAUAUGCGCUAGCUUUGUAUUGCUAUUCCCCUCAGUAUGCUUACUCUGUCUGCUGCCCGAACUGUGACAAUUAUAGGCUACAAUCUUUUCAUCAAUUUCUUCAGUAGAUGCCAUUUUAGACAUUUUAUUAUCCCCAUCGAAAUAUGCUAUUAUACUAACAGGAUUAUAACUCAAAUCACACAACACGUAUUCAAAUCACAACUGAUUUAUUUUACUGUUGGACAGAUCAUAGCAUAUCUAGCCUAGCUACACAUAGCCUAGCUGCUGGUAGGCUGAUAACUGAUAAGUAGCUGAUAUUCUGAACAGAUUGGUGAUCCUUACCUUAAAAAAGUCUGUGACUUUAGGCAACAAUUCUAUCAUUACCUGCAUCUCUCUCUUUUUUUUCCUUUUAUGCGCCCUGCUAACACGUGAACGCUUCAUCUUUCAAAGCCUCUAAAUUUAUGUCUCUGUAGUCAGUAGUCUUUGGCGCGCUUUCGUGCGUGACGUUACAUUUUGUUAUAUUUUAUUCUGGUCCAGUUGUGGGUGUUCGUUUCGCGAACCACAUCCACCAUGUCUCUUACAGCAGGCUACUGUGCGCUCAUUUAUUUCUAACCUUAUUUCUAUCCGUACAUUAAUGUAGGCCCAUGAUUCCGACAGUUUAUUAUUUUAUUAAUAUUACAAGGCCCCUGAUUGGCUGUGGCCCAGGGGCUUGAGCCCCCCGAACCCCCCCCUUAAAGCGCCGGUGCAUGUCCGCCAUCGUCUGUGUGAGACUCGCGCGCGCGACAACUGUCCUUCCCGUGAUUCAUUUCCAGAACGCAUUUCCCCUUCUCCGUUUUAGCCUUUUUUAAAUUUUUUAUUUAUUUAUUUUUUUACUCAAUAACGGUUGUGAUGUAAAAUGUACCGAAGUACACUACUUAAAAGAAAACAUACUUAAGUAAAAGUAAAAGUACACUCUUUAAAAAUUACUUGAAAAAGUAUAAGUACACAAAAAAGCUACUCAAGUACAGUAACGCGAGUAAUGUAAUUCGUUACUUUCCACCUCUGCAUCAAACAACUAUUCUGCAUUACAGAUCUGAGCUUAAACUGUAAAUUUGCUACUACAUACCUGCCUUGUAUGUGCCAGGACCAACCAACCUGGAAAAAUGUCUAAGCAUGAUGCUUCACCUCGUGCCCCAUUCCAGUACCUGCAAGUUGAUUUCACUCAUAUGCCACCCAUAGGCAACUUAAAAUACAUGCUGUUCAUUGUUGACAGACUCUCAAAAUGGGUUGAAACUCUUCCUUGUUGUAAAAAAAUGCUAAAAAAAAAUGAUCAAGGCUCCGUUCUUGUGCUGACGCUCUUCUCCAUCUUCUGUAGCAUGAUGCUACACCAGGCCAUGGAAGAGCUUGGUGAGGAUGAUGGCAUCUACAAGACAGAGGUGCUUCACCAACUUGCAUCUCGCAAGGUGUAUCAGCCUCGCAUCUGCCCAACUGAACUAAACUCGGUCCAGCAGUUCACUUACCUAGGCUACACAAUCUCAUCGUAUGCCAAGAUUGACAAGGAGAUCGACAACAGGCUUGCCAAAGCAAACAGCGCCUUUGGCAGGCUCCAGAAAAGAAUCUGGGGUAACAAGGACCUAAAGAAGAACACCAAGGUCCUUGUGUACCACGCUGUGGUCCUGACCACUCUCUGUUACGGCUCUGAGGCCUGGGUCACCACCACCGCCACCUGCGCCUCCUUGAGCGCUUCCAUCAGCGCUGUCUUCGCUCCAUUCUUAACAUCCAUUGGCGUGACUACAUCAUGAAUGUUGAGGUCCUACAGAGGGCGGAGGCCACCCUUCUUGAGGCCAUGCUACUGAAGUCACAGGUGCAAUGGGCUGGACAUGUGUCCAGAAUGGAAGAUUAUUGAUUACCCAAGAUUGUCUUGCACGGGGAGCUGUCCUCUGGCUGUCGAAACCCAGGGGCCCCAGUCAAGACGUAUAAAGCUCUCCUGAAGGCUUCCCUAAAGAUCUGCAACAUCAACCCCAACUCCAAGACAUGUCUUGCUUCAGAUCGUGACAGAUGGUGAAAAACUGUUUACAGUGCUGUCAGUUCCUUUGAGGAUGAUUGGAGAGCAAACCUGGAGGACAAAAGGAGCAGAAGGAAAAAUAAACCAAUCACUGCUCCCAACCCUGAUUUCAUGCUGGCCUGCAACGUCUGUGGCUGAACGUGUCUGUCGAGGAUAGGUCUCAUCAGUCAUAAGAGAGCCUGUAGCCGACGUGAACAUUCCCCCUCAUAAAUAUUCAUUUGCGAAUCAAUGCCAAGAGAGAGAGAAGAUAUAUAUAUAAGAAGAAAACGUCAAACCAAGAAGCCUUUAUUGGUCACAUGUACACUCAAGCAUAGACUCAGCACACAGUGAAAUUUAACCUCUGCAUUUAACCCAUCUGAAGCAGUUAACACACACACACAUACAAAUGAGCAAUGAGCACACACACAUACCCACAGUAGUGAGCAACUAUGCUACAUCACCCGGGGAGCAGUUGUGGGUUAAGUGCAUGAAGGGCACUUCAGCACAACCUCAGCACUGUGGCUGCUCCAUGUUAACCUAACUGCAUGUCUUUGGACUGUGGGGGAAACCGAAGCACCCGGAAGAAACCCACACUGACAUGGGGAGAACACACAAACUCCACACAGAAAGGUGCCCGCUGGCUAUGAGGUUAGAACCUGCAACCUUUUUGUUGUAAGGCAACAGCAUUAACUACUUGACCAUCAUGCUGCCCAGGAGUAGUUAGUGGUUAGGUGUCUUGCUCAAGAAGCACUUCAGCCAUUCCUGCAGGUCCAGGGACUCGAACCAGCAGCCUGUUGUCUAACCUUUCGACCACGGCUUCCCCAUGUAAUAAGUCCACUUGAAAUGAUAACAUGAUUACAUGUAAUUCAUCAACUGUAGAAUGUUUAUUUUUUUCUUUUUUUUUCUGUAGGAAAUGAAUCUGCACUAUGCCAGUCUUUCAUACAAGACAGAACCCACUGAGAGAAACACAUCAGAUUUGGACAGAGUGGUAUACGCAGGAAUCAGACAUUUACCAGCCUGACACCUGAUUACAGAUCUGUACGAAUAUAACAAAAAAAAAUUUUGACCUUUAUCAUUCUUAAUAGUGUAAACCCCAUGCUAAUUUAUUUAUCUUGGUUCUGAUCAAUCAGCAGUGUAAACCCUUAGGAAAAAAAAUAUGUCCAAUUCACACAUUUUUAAAAUACUGUAUUAUGUGAGUUAAAACAUUACUAAAAUAAAAUGUAAAGGGCAUUUCAUGUUAUGUCCUGAAGUUACAUGUGUGAACUCAGUGAACACGUGACAGCAUCUGAAUAAUUCCUUAUAUUCUUAAUCCUGCCCUUUUCUGAAGAAUGUUUUCUCCUCAGUUAUUUUUACGUUUGUCUUUUAAAGCUAAAUACAGUGAUACACACAGCACCAGUCAAAAGUUUGGACACACCUUCUAAUUAACUGUUUAUUCUUUAUUGUUAUUAAAAGUCACUUCAUGUCUUAAAGUAA
Long non-coding RNA from Neoarius graeffei (lesser salmon catfish), 7072 nucleotides. RefSeq lists it as uncharacterized. The record is from RefSeq and is a predicted model, not a curated record. The transcript has 2 exons. Lineage: Eukaryota; Metazoa; Chordata; Actinopteri; Siluriformes; Ariidae.